CUUCACACUAAAGGCUCCUCAUGUUCUCAAGAUUAUUCAAGCAAGCAAGCAAUAUACUGUAUCUCUCAAGCAAUUUACUCAUACGUGUGAUUGGAAAGACGACAACCAUUUGUUCUACGACACUACUAUCUGACAGAUCAUUCAAAUGUUGGAUUCAUGGCCUACAAUAGAUGAUUUGCGACUCCAAUGUGUUUUUCUGCUGUUUUUGUUAGGUUCUUAACUCAUCAGGCCGGGCUACUGAGUAUACAUAUUGUGUUCAUCUCGCCUUCCUUCUUAGGAAAAAUCAUGUACUGAA
Long non-coding RNA from Triticum dicoccoides, 295 nucleotides. RefSeq lists it as uncharacterized. The record is from RefSeq and is a predicted model, not a curated record. Lineage: Eukaryota; Viridiplantae; Streptophyta; Magnoliopsida; Poales; Poaceae. The transcript has 3 exons.